UGGGGAAUAUUGGACAAUGGACGAAAGCCUGAUCCAGCCAUGCCGCGUGAGUGACGAAGGCCUUAGGGUUGUAAAACUCUUUCGUCGGGGACGAUAAUGACGGUACCCGAAGAAGAAGCUCCGGCUAACUUCGUGCCAGCAGCCGCGGUAAUACGAAGGGAGCUAGCGUUGUUCGGAUUUACUGGGCGUAAAGCGCGUGUAGGCGGGUCGUUAAGUUGGGGGUGAAAUCCCGAGGCUCAACCUCGGAACUGCCUUCAAAACUGGCGACCUGGACUCAAGCAGAGGCAAGUGGAAUUGCGAGUGUAGAGGUGAAAUUCGUAGAUAUUCGCAGGAACACCAGUGGCGAAGGCGACUUGCUGGGCUUGUAGUGACGCUGAGACGCGAAAGCGUGGGGAGCAAACAGGAUUAGAUACCCAAGUAGUCCCUGAGCGGGCUGGCAAGGCGCAU
Molecule: ribosomal RNA, 447 nt
Filed under: uncultured bacterium
Lineage: Bacteria
Description: bacterial SSU rRNA
Rfam family: Bacterial small subunit ribosomal RNA
Source: RNAcentral